GGAAAGAGUAAACAAAACCAGGAAAGUAAUCCACUGAUAAAACGCCAAGUGAUGUUGUUCUGCGGAGCCAGAGUGGGGCCACCUGGGCACAAUUCUCCCACAAAGGAGCCAACUCUACUGGGGCUGAGACCAAGAGCCAUCUGGACUCCCAGGCCAGCCCCAGAGCAUUGAGCAGCGGGUUAGGAUACUUAAGGAGAGGCAAGUCAGGCAAGAAGCAGAAAGACAGGAAAUGGAGAGAUAGGAAGCAGAGAGACAGGAAGUGGAGGGACAGGAAGUGGAGAAUCCAGCAGGGGCCAAUGUUGGACAACACUCCUUUGCCAGCUGUGCUCCCCAUGCAACGGGAUGAGGAGAUUUUAAGCCUCUACCAGAAAAACUCAAAUCUGGAGAUAAUUUAAUUUUUCCUGGGUCUCUGCCAGCCAUCUCCAGAGUUUUGUCAAAUUUUCCACCUACUUCCUCUGUGUGUGGAAACUCAGCCUCCAUUUUAGAACUCCAUUCCCAACAGUGGUUCUGCACCCCCACCCAUGUUUUUUUUUGUUUGUUUGUUUGUUUGUUUUUGGUUAUCCUGGAGGUUUUGUGGAUUAAGAUGUGUGAGAUGAGGGGUUUAUAGGGACUGGCUGGAGGUAUGCCCCCCCUUCCACCCACACACCCACACACACAUACACACGCACACGCUGUUGUGCAGAAGAUGUUUCUUGGGUGGCUGAGCAAAGAAUCAGGUAUUUGGAUGUCCUGAUUUGACCCUGAGAAAAAUAGCAGCCAUCCACAGAGCCCUGAAACAUACUUCCCACUGCUUGGAAUGGCAGCUCCUCCUCAGAAUACAAGCAAGGAAACGUGUGGCAUCUGGCUACCAUGAGCUGAAGACAAAGCCUACAUGGGGAAAAGUGCAAAACCAGGAGAAUGGGAGAGAAAUGGAGCCACACACUGAUGCUGUUGUGAAACAUCUCAAUCAAACUGCACCUGAAGACCGCCCUAUCCCUGCAUUUUUCAUUUACAUGAGCCAAUAAACUCUCUCAUUUAAGUCAA
RNAcentral lists this non-coding RNA (1023 nucleotides) under Pan troglodytes (chimpanzee). The record is from RNAcentral. Lineage: Eukaryota; Metazoa; Chordata; Mammalia; Primates; Hominidae.